This 497-nucleotide ribosomal RNA is filed under the name uncultured bacterium. Its description in RNAcentral is "partial 16S ribosomal RNA". It matches the Rfam family "Bacterial small subunit ribosomal RNA", at positions 28 to 507 of the family's 1533-position model. The record is from RNAcentral.
GAUGAACGCUGGCGGCGUGCCUAAUACAUGCAAGUCGAGCGAACGGACGAGAAGCUUGCUUCUCUGAUGUUAGCGGCGGACGGGUGAGUAGCACGUGGAUAAUCUACCUAUAAGACUGGGAUAACUUCGGGAAACCGGAGCUAAUACCGGAUAAUAUUUUGAACCGCAUGGUUCAAAAGUGAAAGACGGUCUUGCUGUCACUUAUAGAUGGAUCCGCGCUGCAUUAGCUAGUUGGUAAGGUAACGGCUUACCAAGGCAACGAUGCAUAGCCGACCUGAGAGGGUGAUCGGCCACACUGGAACUGAGACACGGUCCAGACUCCUACGGGAGGCAGCAGUAGGGAAUCUUCCGCAAUGGGCGAAAGCCUGACGGAGCAACGCCGCGUGAGUGAUGAAGGUCUUCGGAUCGUAAAACUCUGUUAUUAGGGAAGAACAUAUGUGUAAGUAACUGUGCACAUCUUGACGGUACCUAAUCAGAAAGCCACGGCUAACUACGUG